Molecule: ribosomal RNA, 259 nt
Filed under: uncultured bacterium
Lineage: Bacteria
Description: partial 16S ribosomal RNA
Rfam family: Bacterial small subunit ribosomal RNA
Source: RNAcentral
UGGCGGACGGGUGAGUAACGCGUGGGUAACCUGCCUCAUACAGGGGGAUAACAGUUAGAAAUGACUGCUAAUACCGCAUAAGCGCACAGUACCGCAUGGUACCGUGUGAAAAACUCCGGUGGUAUGAGAUGGACCCGCGUCUGAUUAGGUAGUUGGUGGGGUAACGGCCUACCAAGCCGACGAUCAGUAGCCGGCCUGAGAGGGUGAACGGCCACAUUGGGACUGAGACACGGCCCAAACUCCUACGGGAGGCAGCAUG